CCUAAAAAAUGAGCAAAAUAUCUAUGUACCAAACAGAUAGGAAGAUUGUCAGAAUAUCCGUUGUCUGUAAACUGCAAGGAGGCUUAAAGUCUUGAAGUGUUUUUACUUCCUGGAAUAAAAUGUCUUCUAUUCCCUCUAGAUGCCCUGGCCCUUCAGAUGUUUUCUUGGACUGCAUCUCACAUCAUCCAUCACUGCUGGCUAUGGGAGGUAACAGGACAACAAGGAAUAUGGCUGCAGAAAAUCUACAAAAUCGAAAAGAUCUCCUCAAAGAAAAAAACACUCAGUACAGGAUUAAGGAAAUAACAUAUACCUGUGCUUCCAUCAAAUCCUCCGACAGCAUACAGAAGUCCAUUCAAUACAGCAGCCCCCAAAGUGCUUCUUCUGUCUUGCAUAUUUGCAACACUUGACCACUUGUUCUUCACAGGAUCAAAAGAAUCAACUGUACGGACCCUCAAGGACCCAUUGAAUCCACCAACAGCAAAGACAAGGCCACUCAUGUAUACCACUCCUGAAAAAGAGAAUGCUCUAUCUCAUUGCUUAUAUUUAAGUUUUUAGUCCCUGCAAAGGACAUUUUUAAAUGUUAUAACCCUGGUGAUAUGUGCUCAUGCAAUGUAUGAAGUCAUGGAGCUACCUGCUCUGCAUCUUCUGGAAGGCAACUCAAGGACUUGGUGCCAACGUUCUUCUUUAAAGUCGUAACAUUCUACACUGCGGAUAGCCUUUGGUGCUUGUCCUCCAACCACCACCAUCAGCUUCAAAGGAAGGAACAACAAAUAAUUCACCCAAAUGCUUGUUUGAAUUGAUGACAACAACAAAUGAGAAGUUAUGCUCUCUUAAAAGAGCAACCAACAUGACUAAGAAUCAUAGGGGAGCUGCCAUUAUAUCUCUCAGGAAUGCCGUGUCUGUUAUCACAAUGUGUGAGGAGCUUAAAUCAGACUGAAAUGCUCGGCUCCAGGCGUGAGCAUGUGGAAAUCAUGACAGUUGCCCUGCCACAUCACAAAAGGGUACAGGUGGCACAAAACCUUCUUGCUAUAGUUCAUCUAUAGUUGAAGUACAAUAAAGCUGUCAAACUCAUUUUCAAAGGGCCACAUCAGCUUUAUUACCGCCUUUAAAGGGCCAUUUGUGAUUGUAAGAUUGUAUAAAUAUAACUAUGUUGCUCUGGCAU
This is a long non-coding RNA of Anolis carolinensis (green anole), 1162 nucleotides long. RefSeq lists it as uncharacterized. The transcript is spliced from 2 exons. NCBI's taxonomy places the organism in Eukaryota, Metazoa, Chordata, Lepidosauria, Squamata, Anolidae. The record is from RefSeq and is a predicted model, not a curated record.